Long non-coding RNA from Oncorhynchus tshawytscha (Chinook salmon), 500 nucleotides. NCBI's taxonomy places the organism in Eukaryota, Metazoa, Chordata, Actinopteri, Salmoniformes, Salmonidae. The record is from Ensembl.
CUCGCUAGACAAAACACUGUGGUUUCUCCCAGAUGAGUCACCCAUGGGAACCUCCUUUUGAAGUCCCUGCUAAUAUGCAGCCUUGGAGCAGGGAUGUACACAUCAAAGAUGGUAAAAAGAUCACUGGGGUCGGGGCCUGUUCCCGAGGGAGCCGUAGAUCCUCCGCCUCGGGCUCGUCACAGUCAUGAGAGAAGAAAAAGGAUUCUGCUAGUCUGUGUGACACUGACUCCGAAUGGGAGCCCCCAGUGCCAAGGUGUCAAUCCCCCACUGAAGCUGGUUCAUCCUACACAAGGAAAUGGCUAAGAGCUGUGGAAAGCCCCCCUCUCACAGCUAGCCUUCAGAGAGCUGCUCAUCAAGGAGCUUGCUGGCUACAGAACCACAGCACCACUGCACCAUGUUCUGGCCCCUCUACCCCUGUCCCUUCUGCUCCUGCCACAAGUGGUGUUCAUCUGCCCAAAUUUAUUUCUGCAGGCAUGGAUGUGCCUCAGGGCCAAAAGGGC